This 117-nucleotide ribosomal RNA is filed under the name Danio rerio (zebrafish). The record is from RNAcentral. Lineage: Eukaryota; Metazoa; Chordata; Actinopteri; Cypriniformes; Danionidae.
GCCGGCAGCAAGCUCUCUGCAACUUUAACAUGGUCGGCCGCUGAAGCUAAGCAGGGCUGCGCCUGGUUAGUACCUGGAUGGGAGAGACCACAUGGAAAAGCUAGGUUGGUGCCAGAA